This 248-nucleotide ribosomal RNA is filed under the name uncultured bacterium. Its description in RNAcentral is "partial 16S ribosomal RNA". It matches the Rfam family "Bacterial small subunit ribosomal RNA", at positions 57 to 305 of the family's 1533-position model. The record is from RNAcentral.
GCAAGUCGAACGAUCGUUUUUGGUUUACUAAAAACGGAGUGGCGCACGGGUGCGUAACACGUAUGCAACCUACCUUUAUCUGGGGAAUAGCCUUUCGAAAGGAAGAUUAAUACCGCAUAACAUUAUUGAAUGGCAUCAUUUAAUAAUCAAAGUUCAGGCGGAUAAAGAUGGGCAUGCGUAACAUUAGCUAGUUGGUAAGGUAAUGGCUUACCAAGGCUACGAUGUUUAGGGGGUCUGAGAGGAUGAUC